UACGGGGGGGGCAAGCGUUGUUCGGAAUUACUGGGCGUAAAGGGCUCGUAGGCGGCCAACUAAGUCGGAUGUGAAAUCCCCAGGCUUAACCUGGGAACUGCAUCCGAUACUGGAUGGCUUGAAUCCGGGAGAGGGAUGCAGAAUUCCUGGUGUAGCGGUGAAAUGCGCAGAUAUCAGGAAGAACACCCGUGGCGAAGGCGGUUCUCUGGGACGGUACUGACGCUGAGACGCGAAAGCGUGGGGAGCAAACAGG
This 253-nucleotide ribosomal RNA is filed under the name uncultured bacterium. RNAcentral describes it as "partial 16S ribosomal RNA". It matches the Rfam family "Bacterial small subunit ribosomal RNA", at positions 524 to 776 of the family's 1533-position model. The record is from RNAcentral.